GCCUGGUUAGCAUAAAAGUAAUGCUGCCGUUUUGUAAUCGGUAGAAGUAAGUGCAAUACUUACACUGGGCC
Molecule: transfer RNA, 71 nt
Filed under: Arthonia cupressina
Lineage: Eukaryota; Fungi; Ascomycota; Arthoniomycetes; Arthoniales; Arthoniaceae
Description: tRNA-Thr
Rfam family: tRNA
About the family: Transfer RNA (tRNA) molecules are approximately 80 nucleotides in length. Their secondary structure includes four short double-helical elements and three loops (D, anti-codon, and T loops).
Source: RNAcentral